This is a long non-coding RNA of Gallus gallus (chicken), 8183 nucleotides long. The record is from Ensembl. NCBI's taxonomy places the organism in Eukaryota, Metazoa, Chordata, Aves, Galliformes, Phasianidae.
GAGACUUCUAAUGAGGCUGAUUCAUAUCAUGAUGUAUUUUACAAGCUAUUCUCAGCAGAUUCGCUGCAAUAUGUCAUUCUUUAUGUACCAUGAGAGAUACAUGAGCACACAAGCUUGAGAAGGGUGGGGAAGUCUCUCUGAGAAACAGACGAGUUUUGCACCUCGUGCUGAGGAAGGAAAGAAUUGGAAGUUCACAUCAGCUAUUGCUUCCAAGUCCUCCAGACCUCAGGUCAGCUGCGAGCUCCACUCCAAUAAACGUGAACAUUACAAGAGCUGUGUCUUAAAACUUAUUUCCAAGGAAGUGUCUCAUUUUAUUGCAGCACAAAAAAAAGAGACUCCAAGGUAAUAUUUACUUUGCUUUACAUUUCAUAAAAAAAAGAAGACUGUAAUUUCAUGGAGGCUCUAACAGGAAUUCCUCUUUCCAUCCAAGCGGAAGAAAUUGUGUUCAGGACCUUUCCCCGAGGGCUCGAGGAAAGCACUUGAACAUGGAAACUCCCACUCCACUUUAUUUGUGAGUUAGCCCUGCAGGAGGAUGAGGCAGGAGUUGAGACGCUAUAAGUGGACUAAGUGGCCAAAGCCUGUGACAUUAAGGAGUAGGAAAGGAUGCUGAGAGGAUAAUCUCAGAGAUGCAGCUCUCCAGCUGAUGAAAAUCAGAAGAGCCAGAUAAUCACUGAGAGGGAUUCCCACCUAGAAAGAAGGCAAUUGCAGGGGCUUUAAGAAAAAGGGUGCAGUAGUUGCUCCAGUUCUGCCUGUCAUUCCUGCACCACUGCCUUUCCAAGCACUGUCUCUUAAGAUGCUGGAGGAGGGGCUGAGGCCCUUUUAAUGAAGUGAAAGGAUGAGCGGGAGGCUGACCAGAACAGCAGUGGAAAGAGCAAAGACACAUGCUGAGAGCCCUGUGCAUGGGGAAACCAGAGCCGCAGCUUGUUCCAGACCCCGGAGCCUCUGAAGCACAGAUGUCUCCAGGAAAUCUUCAUGCUUCACCCCAACAGAGCUCUGGCCAGGAAAAGAAUCUCCUUGGUCUAUUUUAAGUUGUAAAAGGAAAGAAUAUGAGACUCUUCCUAAAUUCUUGAAACCGGUAUCUGGGCCUCUGGGAAUGAAGAAAGACUCUGACUGUGACUGCAUUUAGGGGCAGUACCAUUUCCUUGGGAGAUAUAAAUUGCAGUGAAGACAAACAAAAAUACUGCUGAGAGUAGAUCUGGCAAUUUUCAGGCCUAAUGAAUUUUCCAAGUCCCAGUAAAAAGGGAAGCUGCCUACAACUCUCCCUACAAGCUUCCAGACCUUCUGGCUCCUCAAAGUUCAGCAGAGCUUUCCAUUGUGGUGCCUCUUUGUGUAAUCCAUGAGUGUUGAACAUCUGGGAAUCAUCUUCUGUUUUCUGACAACUAUGAAGACUCUCAUACUUUGAGUAAGCUCUGCAAAGUUCAUUGUCCUGCCCAGCAGGUUUGUAAACUUUGUCAAAAGAACCAAGCAGAUGUUCUCCUGGGUCACUGGACAUCCAACUUUCUUACCUGCUUUGGAUGGGAAGUCACAUCAGUUUCAAUCUCUCCUACACGGCUUUUGUAUGUAAUGGCCUACAUUAAUUUGGUCAGCUUACACUAAGACACUCAGAAAAGCCAGGAAGCAUUCCAUUUCCACGAUAAAAAUAAAUGUUCAAGAUACUUCUUAGAAAUAUGCAUACAUUUUAAAAAUAAACCACACCAAAGAAAGUAAACAAAGCAAAAGCCUCUGCUAUUUUAUGAGACCAAUUUCAUUUCAAAGUGAAUUCAGACCUAUGACUUUGGUUAUGUCUGCUCUGGAACUUGAUAUCUGCCAGCAAGUCUGCAUCAGACAAAAUUUCCUGUGUGUUCAGGGAGAACCUGCAAGUGCAACUUCAUUCAGAGCACCAGAGCAACUCUGCAUCCUUUCCCUGAGUGUGCAACAACCUCAGUCCUCUCCUACUGUUAUGUGUGCAUGCUCCAGCUAUGCGGACACAAAGUGAGUGUGCAAACACAUUGCACACUGAUAGUCCUUGAGGGUGCCCUCUGCAUCCCAUACUGACACAAGAAAUCCCUGUGAAGCAGGGAUACUAAGGCAAAAACAGACCUGUAGGAUUUGAAGGGGAGUUGUGCAUUCUCACCACCUUGUUUAACAGGGUCAAAGACUGUAUUUAAAAAAAAAAAGAAAAAGAAAGAAAUCAUAUUCUCAUUAGGGUCUGCAGGCUUGGCUUGCCUAAGAACUGAAAUAACUUACUGCACUGAAGUUAGACUUGGAUUGCAAACAUAGGGGAAUACUUAAACCCACGCUUGUAUUUCACAUACUUCACAGGUUCUGAAUACUAUGAAUAUCAACUUUGAAUUGCUGUUGCACUAGACAGCAGACCUGACCAGACAGUUGCAAACACACCUGAGUAACACAGCUUCAACUCUGAGUUUAACACGAAUAAGUCACCUGAGUCAAAUUUAUUCACGUGUCUUUUUAAAGGCUCCAGUUCUCUGCUCAGGAGCAAAGUGCUGACACUCUUACUAAAAAGACAAUUCAGCUGGUCACAAACAUCAGUGACUAUAUUUGCAUCUGCCAUCACAAAUAUAUUUUGGUUUUAGAUGGGGGAGAAAAGAAAACAAACACAACAUUUUCUGGUUAAACAGAAACAGAGUAUGGUAUCACUGAGACUUUCUAAAGGAGAGUUUAUUUAAUUUAUUCUUCUGUACACAUAGCUAGUUUGCUAGGAUAUUAUAACUCAACUCAUUUCUCUGGUGACCCAUGGCAACCUCUGGAUCAAAAGGAUUACUCGUGACUCAUAACUUACCUUGCCUAAAUAUAAAUAUAGGGCUUUAGGUUAAGUAAUCUAGGCCUUAAUCAAUAAAACAUUUAAAGUGACAGUACAAGGAGGGAUUUCAAAAGUUGUGCUAUUUUAAUAUUAACUCCUAAUACCUGAAUUUCUGGGGCUGUUCUUUUCUGGUUUUAACAGAGAUGCCCCACAUCAAGGAUUUUCCAUGCAUUUUGUACGCACAAGUACAGCUGCACACAGUUUGAAUGUUCUCCUGUUCCAUAGCAGACAUAUGCUCAUUUUCCCUCACAGGAAAUCCAAGCAAUUGCCCCUGUGUGGAAUACCACAAUUAGGUGACCAUAAUUGCAUACCUAAUGAGCUUGUACAUGUUUUGAGUGCCAGUUUCUCAGAUGUGGCCACCUAAAUGGGUAUCUAAAAUCUCACUUUUGGGUGGUGAGGUUGACAAAAAACGUAUGAAAGUCUUAUUUCAUAUACUUAAAUUGGACCAUUUAAAUGCCCAAUACUUUCUUAAGUGCCUGCAUUUCAAUAUCAUGUCUUAAGUGCAAAUCGCCCAACCUUGUGGGCUAGCAUUGGCAACCAGAUGUUGAGAAAAUACAAAUUGAAUAAAAUACGACUCUUUCAAAAGAAGACUGGAAACUUUCCAAAUAACUGCAGGGAUGUAAGGUUACGAAAUUGUUUCUUCUCAGCCUGGGAAAUCACAGGGUCAUUCCUGUUAGUAGCCACAGCAGUGGGUUGAGGAAAGCAGAUCGUCUUGGCCAGCCCACAGUGCCAACCCAAACCCUCUGUAUCCAGAUGAGCAGAGGGCUGAGCACAGGACAAGGACUCCGCACUCCCAAGUAAUACAGCUUCUACAACCCAUACGUUCUCCCUUCUUUUCCUGACUGAACUCAUGGAUGUUUGUUACAGCACUUUGGAAAGCUGUACUAAGACCAGUCAGUAUGGCCACCCCAAGGGUAGUAGAGCUGUACAUAGUGACAACAAGCUGGAGUCUUAGAUACCCAAAGCAUUUUAUGUUUUUUGUACUGCUUAGCUAGCCUGGGGCAAGGAAUGAAAUGCAGCAUGGUGUAGACCACAGCAAUUUCAAAGUGUACAGGCACAAAUAGAUUAUUACACUUUAUAUGAUGUAAAAUGACUUUCUGACCAAGAAGGAAGUCAAGAUAUUGAUAAGAAGCUGGUUUUAUCUGGAAUUAUUUUGGUAUUACUGACUAGCUAACACUCUGUAAACAAAUAUCAACUACGCUUUCUGUUGUCUGUAGUUCCACUGAUUUCAGUGGUGAAGGUCUGGGCUAAUAAACUUUCCUCAGAGCUUGAAUAGUCCAAUUUAGGAAUAGGUGGAAAUGCUAGUUUCAGUUACUAAAUAACUGCAUAUUUUCUUUCUGAGGGAAAGAGCAGGAUUUGUAUCUGGCUUUUAUUCUUGCCCAGGGUAAUGGAAAAGAGCAGAUUAAUUGCAGCUUUAGAAACCCUUCCAUGAGUUCUUUAGUAUGAAUUAUUUUAUAUAAUUCACAGAGAAGGUGACAUGAUUUACAUCAAUAUAUACAGUUAAAUUGUUCUAUAUUGUAAACCAUUAGCAAAGAAGGAUGAAGGGCUUAUGAAGAGGAGUGGAGAGACUAUAAUGUUAUGACAGAAUGAAAAAUUUCUGGACAUGCAAGAAGACAUCACACUGUUUCCAUUGGAAGAUAGUUGUGUAUGUUUCCUACAGCAACUAUAAGAUCUUUGGCCUGUGCACUGUAGACUAUUCUCUGUUUAUUUUCAUUAUAUACCAGAACCUUUUUUACAGAAGAGCAGAGCAGACUGUACUUUAACUCCUAAAUUUGGGGGAGGAGGAAGUUCCACAAGGGUGUUAUGUGGCAGAGGGAUAUAACUCACAAUAAAUUGGUGUUAUCCGGUCACAUUGCUCAUCCAAGUCCUCAGUAAGGCAAGAAAAAUAUUUCUUACUGCACAGGCUGGUUCUUGCAGAGGCAUGAAGAGCCGCUGCCCCAUGUUUCCAUUCCCAAAUGAAGGAGAAAUGUCCUCAGUGUCAGCACACAGGGCUUCAUUCAGAGCUGCUGGAAUGUGAAACCCUGAGUUGAGGGAGCAAGAGAGAGCAGAGGCCUCUUCCUCCAUCAAGCAUGGGAGCUUGCAGUGGGUGGGUUUCAUGCUGGAGGCUUCCACCGGAGGCUAUGAGUGGAGAAAAGAGUACAGCAAACCCCAACCCAAAUGGUUUACGCUGAGAAACAGAACUCGCUCUGAAGAAAAGGGUUGGGAACCCAGAUGGCACUGAGGGAAGAAAAACUCUCUUAUUGUUGACACAGUUUAUCCUUCUCAGAAUAUAGUUUUGUUGUCCACUAUAAGCUGUAGUUCACCAUAAGGGAAAGGAGCACUUUCCAAGCCAUUACAGGACUCCUGAUUCUCUCUUCAGUUUGGUAGUGGCUUCAGCAUUGCAAGCUUUCUUUUUGGUGCUGAGUAUGCCUGAAGAAAAAUGAUCAACCCAACUCUUAAUCAUUCCUACAACUGUGUUUCAAGAAACAUUCUUGUUUUCUAAAGGGUGUUCAUUUUUUUCCCCUAGGGACCCAUUUAACUUUCCUUUCUAAUCUCCUAAUGAUCUGGAAUAAGGUCUUUAGUUGCUUUGCUUGUUGUGAAACAGCUUGGGGAGAUAGCUCCUAGUCCAUGUUAACCACACUUCAAAUACUCUUUGUAUGACUGAUGCAAAGCCAUAAUCUCCCAAAGCAAGUUUAUAACCAUUUUAACAACCGAGACUUAAGGAGGUUAUUGCAGGAUGGGCAGGGAGAGAGAGGUGAAGAACUGACCAAGGAAGCACAGUUCAGUUUGUCUUCCAAACAGCUCCAUAUCUCUUACAGCUUUACAAGGAUGAAGUGAUUGAUGAACAAACAAGAGGGCCUAAUCUCAAGUAAAGGAGAAGGGGGGAGGGGAGUAUUCUGACCAGCAGCCUUCUUCUGGAAGGUCAUACAAGCACAUUGCUAUUUCUUUGCAGUGAAGCAAAUGACUGAGUUUCAUAGGACUCAGAACCUUCAAACAGAAGUGAAACAUACCCUUGGGAUAAUGAAUUUUACAAGCUGUGAGGUCUGAAUGCACACACGUAGCAGCUGUGUGCUGUCCUUGGGGACAUCAAUGGAGAGUGUAAAAAAGAGGUAAAAACUUUGUAUUUUAACACCGAGGAAUAUAUUCCAUGAAGCUGUUCCUCAGUCAAAGUCUAUCUCUGACUUUUCUCUUUGGAUCUGCCUUUUAGGAAGAGAAACACUGCAUAUAUCAGGGACAGAAUACAGAUUUGGAUUUAAAAUUAAGAUGAUUUCAACAGCCCUUCAAAGAAGUCUCUCAAGAACAUAGUAAAACACACAGUCUUGUACACCGACAAAACUGCUUUGAGAGUACCUUCAUUUUUGACUGCUUUCUAUUUAUUCAAUUUCUUUUAAGUAAGCCUCAAUUAGUUUGGAGAUUCAAAUGUGGAGAAGAAGUAAGGGAAGCAAGAAGCUCAGCCCACCAAAUUGUGGCUCACUAGCAGAAUUUUCACAGCUUUAAAACAGUCUUCCUCCACAGGGCGCAGUGCUUCCGCCUAAACCUGCUUGUGAGAAUUUAUUAUCCCUGUGUGCAAGUCUUUGAAACCAGGAUUUUAACGGUAAUAAUUUCUCAGCAGUGAAAUUCAUGAGAGGCUGUAAUAUAAUGCCAAGUCUAUCCUAUUAUGGUUUUAAUUGGAAUAUACGUUUUAUGUGUUAUUAGAGCAAUGUUACUGUCCUCCUUAUGCUUAAUACUAUAUGAAUAGCUAAAGCCCUCUAAUGACCAUGUAAUUUAUUGUCCCUAUAGUUAUGGCAUUAAGCUACAAGUCACCUAAUACUUGCAAACAUUGUAAACUCCAAUUACAGCUACACCAGUGAUCCUUCUGUCAACUGAGCUAAAAAUGAGUCAAUGAUAAGGUUAAGCACUGAGCCACGUAACACAGUUAUCUGGAGCUCAGCACCUGUACUACAGAGAAAUGUCCAAUAAACUAUGGUUAAAUAGUUUUACUUUGUUAUCAGAUAUAAGUAUAGCAAAUACAAUCAGCUUCCAGAAUGAUGUUGAUCACCAUCAUUCCAACAAUCUUUUAUGUAUUUGUCAGCUUUAUCCUAAUUUACUGCUAACAGUCAAUCACUGCUUCUCAAGAACCUGAGAGAUUUCACAGACACCAGGUUGGAUUCUGGCUACCCCUACAGAAAAUCUUGGAGGCUCAUGAAAGUAUUGCCUGCAGCUUCUAUUCAAGAGAAGCAUUGUCUUCAAAUACCUACAUAAUGUCUUCAAAUGAUGGCUGGACUAGAUAAUCUUAAAGGUCUUUUCCAGCCUGGAUGAUUCUAUGAUUCUGUGAAAAGUACUGUAGAAAAAUAUAUUAAUCUUUAAGGUUUAUUUCCUUAUGGAUUACAUGUGUGUAUAUAUAUUCUCACAAACUGUAAAUUGCAUUUGUUUUGGAGACACAAGAGACACCAAAGAGAAUUGCAGCACCAGUUGCACUGGUAAUCUUAUAAAUGUCAGUGGAAAUUCUCUCCUGGCUGAUCCGUGAUAUAUGUGUAAUUCCUCUGGAUAAGCAUUCCUUUCAAAAGAAUACAUGUAGCAAACUGAAUACAUAAAAUGGAUAAAUCAUCCAUCCUCAUUCGUGGUGUGUGAUUAUUCACUUGUACCACGUAACAUUUCUGCAGCCCAGAAGGUGAACUAAAUCGUACUAAAGAGGAAAACAAGAAAUUGGACAUUUCAACCACACAUUUUUUAAAAGGAAUGAGCAGUCAGACUACAUUUUGUGACACAUUUGAGAUUUGUGUGUGGCUUCAUAUGUUUUCCCAUGACCAUCCAAAUAUUCAUGGAGAAUUAAUAACAUGGUCCUAUCUUUAGCAAGUUCCAUUCAUUCUUAUUUGUAUCUGGCUAUAAUCAGCACAGAGACCCCAAAUAUUGGACGACUGCAUUUGAUUCUUGAGUUCUUUUCUUUUUGUUUAUGUCAAAGCAAAUUAGCUGGAAGGACCCUGACGAGGAAAUCGACCAAACAGUGGAAGGUCAAGAGGGCAUUUCACUGAAAUGUAAUAUAAUAAGUACAACUUAAACAGUGACAAAUCCCAUUCACCUCUUUUGUUUUCUUGAAAUGUUUAGAAUUAUUUUUAACCGUCUUUUUAAUAAAUAAAAUUGUUCUAUUGGUUUAUCAUACAUUUGGAUUUCAUUAAUUUUAGAAUAUAUUCCAGGCAUCUAAAAUUAAACAGAUGUCAUUGGGCUCAUUUAGACCUCAAAUAACCCUUGCAACAAAACCAAUUAUUCAAGGGUCAGCUGGAAGUUGGAAUUUAAUAAUAAAGAAAAGUUUAAAAGUGAACAAAGAAAAGGAAGAAGAGGAAAAAGAAGCAGCAAUGCCAAUUCUCUGUCCACACAAUUAUUAGUGCAAAAAUAAAAAGUUGAAGAUCUAUUUUAAUAUGAG